RNAcentral lists this ribosomal RNA (380 nucleotides) under alpha proteobacterium K-2057a. RNAcentral's name for it is "bacterial SSU rRNA". It matches the Rfam family "Bacterial small subunit ribosomal RNA", at positions 1116 to 1498 of the family's 1533-position model. Lineage: Bacteria; Pseudomonadati; Pseudomonadota; Alphaproteobacteria. The record is from RNAcentral.
UGCCAUCAUUUAGUUGGGUACUCUAAAGGAACCGCCGGUGAUAAGCCGGAGGAAGGUGGGGAUGACGUCAAGUCCUCAUGGCCCUUACGCGUUGGGCUACACACGUGCUACAAUGGCGACUACAGUGGGCAGCCACCUCGCGAGAGGGAGCUAAUCUCCAAAAGUCGUCUCAGUUCGGAUCGUUCUCUGCAACUCGAGAGCGUGAAGGCGGAAUCGCUAGUAAUCGCGGAUCAGCAUGCCGCGGUGAAUACGUUCCCAGGCCUUGUACACACCGCCCGUCACACCAUGGGAGUUGGAUUCACUCGAAGGCGUUGAGCUAACCGCAAGGAGGCAGGCGACCACAGUGGGUUUAGCGACUGGGGUGAAGUCGUAACAAGGUA